CAUUCGAACGCACAUUGCAGCCAUUGGAUAUCCAUUGGCUUUGUUUGUCUGAGCGUCGUUAUUGAAUCAAGUAAAAUGAAAAAUCUGUUUCGUGAAUGCUAAAUGAUUCUCGUCAGAUUCAAUGUGUAACAUUAAAUGCUGACUCGUGGAGCGAAUGGCACGUUAUGGUGGUACGUUCCAAAGAGUAUUUUGGCGUCUCCAGCUAAAAUAUUCUAGUGCUUCCAGUGUUCGUCCAUGUGAGCUGAACACAGAGUUCAGUUUGGUUAUCAAAAGUUAAGUCUAUUGUCGACCUCAGAUCAAGCGAGAUUACCCGCUGAAUUUAAG
RNAcentral lists this ribosomal RNA (324 nucleotides) under Geomylichus floridanus. RNAcentral describes it as "eukaryotic LSU rRNA". The record is from RNAcentral. Lineage: Eukaryota; Metazoa; Arthropoda; Arachnida; Sarcoptiformes; Listrophoridae.